GGGACACGUGGUAUCCUGUCUGAAUAUGGGGGGACCAUCCUCCAAGGCUAAAUACUCCUGACUGACCGAUAGUGAACCAGUACCGUGAGGGAAAGGCGAAAAGAACCCCGGCGAGGGGAGUGAAAAAGAACCUGAAACCGUGUACGUACAAGCAGUGGGAGCACCUUCGGGUGUGACUGCGUACCUUUUGUAUAAUGGGUCAGCGACUUAUAUUCUGUAGCAAGGUUAACCGUAUAGGGGAGCCGCAGGGAAACCGAGUCUUAACUGGGCGUUAAGUUGCAGGGUAUAGACCCGAAACCCGGUGAUCUAGCCAUGGGCAGGUUGAAGGUUGGGUAACACUAACUGGAGGACCGAACCGACUAAUGUUGAAAAAUUAGCGGAUGACUUGUGGCUGGGGGUGAAAGGCCAAUCAAACCGGGA
RNAcentral lists this ribosomal RNA (420 nucleotides) under Klebsiella pneumoniae. RNAcentral's name for it is "partial 23S ribosomal RNA". It matches the Rfam family "Bacterial large subunit ribosomal RNA", at positions 419 to 843 of the family's 2925-position model. Lineage: Bacteria; Pseudomonadati; Pseudomonadota; Gammaproteobacteria; Enterobacterales; Enterobacteriaceae. The record is from RNAcentral.